This 253-nucleotide ribosomal RNA is filed under the name uncultured bacterium. Its description in RNAcentral is "partial 16S ribosomal RNA". It matches the Rfam family "Bacterial small subunit ribosomal RNA", at positions 524 to 776 of the family's 1533-position model. The record is from RNAcentral.
UACGUAGGCGGCGAGCGUUGUUCGGAAUUACUGGGCGUAAAGAGUGUGUAGGCGGUGUUCCCAGUCUGUUGUGAAAUCUCCCGGCUUAACUGGGAGGGUGCAGCGGAAACUAGAAUGCUAGAGGGUGGGAGAGGUAAGCGGAAUUCCUGGUGUAGCGGUGAAAUGCGUAGAUAUCAGGAGGAACACCUGUGGUGUAGACAGCUUACUGGACCACUUCUGACGCUGAGACACGAAAGCGUGGGUAGCAAACAGG